GAACGCGAAGAACCUUACCCGGGCUUGAAUUGCAGAGGAAGGAUUUAGAGAUAAUGACGCCCUUCGGGGUCUCUGUGAAGGUGCUGCAUGGUUGUCGUCAGCUCGUGCCGUGAGGUGUCGGCUUAAGUGCCAUAACGAGCGCAACCCUUCUCCUCAGGUUGCCAUCAGGGUAAAUGCCGGGCACUCUCGUAGGACACUGCCAUCGUAAGAUGUGAGGAAGGUGGGGAUGACGUCCAAAUCAGCACGGCCCUUACGUCCGGGGCUACACACGUGUUACAAUGGCGGGGUACAGAAGGGCCGCGUAGCCACGGCAGAACUGGGAAUUGCUAAUCUUUAAAACCUGUCUCAGUUCGGACUGGGGUCUGCAACCCGACCCCACGAAGCUGGAUUCGCUAGUAAUCGCGCAUCAGCCAUGGCGCGGUGAAUACGUUCCCGGGUCUUGUACACACC
Molecule: ribosomal RNA, 450 nt
Filed under: uncultured bacterium
Lineage: Bacteria
Description: bacterial SSU rRNA
Rfam family: Bacterial small subunit ribosomal RNA
Source: RNAcentral